AACGCUCCGCACCGGGGAAGGAUGAGAAGCUUCGACUAAGGUUCGAGUCUCACGCAGUGAGACAACGCGCUUUAGCGCGGCCCGCAGGGUGAGUCG
Molecule: small RNA, 96 nt
Filed under: Serratia marcescens
Lineage: Bacteria; Pseudomonadati; Pseudomonadota; Gammaproteobacteria; Enterobacterales; Yersiniaceae
Description: partial RtT sRNA
Rfam family: RtT RNA
About the family: This family represents a bacterial cis-regulatory element known as RtT RNA.
Source: RNAcentral